Molecule: ribosomal RNA, 25 nt
Filed under: Stenanthemum petraeum
Lineage: Eukaryota; Viridiplantae; Streptophyta; Magnoliopsida; Rosales; Rhamnaceae
Description: partial 26S ribosomal RNA
Source: RNAcentral
UGCGACCUCAGGUCAGCGGGGGGCU